RNAcentral lists this long non-coding RNA (233 nucleotides) under Mytilus galloprovincialis (Mediterranean mussel). The record is from RNAcentral. Lineage: Eukaryota; Metazoa; Mollusca; Bivalvia; Mytilida; Mytilidae.
CGAUGGGGUAAGUACCUUCAUUUUACCUAUUAUUUAUCUAGCGACUUUUUUCUAUUUUUUUUGUUUAUUUAUCACUAAAAUUCAAACGACUGUGAUUGGAGUUUGGACUUUUAUCAUUGAAUUUUCAUGGAAAUUCCAAAUGUGUGCUAUGUGGAUGAUGUGUGACUGCAACUAUCAUAUUUACUAAAGUUUUGCAUUGCACUUUGGUGAAUAUGAACUAGCUUUCUGUAUCU